This 23365-nucleotide long non-coding RNA is filed under the name Ananas comosus (pineapple). RNAcentral's name for it is "long non-coding RNA (ACOM_LNC025632)". Lineage: Eukaryota; Viridiplantae; Streptophyta; Magnoliopsida; Poales; Bromeliaceae. The record is from RNAcentral.
CUAACAACCAAUAGGUCACAUGCCCUCGGCACAAUCUGAUGCUAAAACGGCGAUAUGGGUCCACCGUCAACCCCGACGACACCCAUCAGUUCGGAACAAUCUGAACGCUACUAUAAAAAUACACUCGGCAUCCUAGCACGAACGUAAUUGAAAUCUAAACUAUCUGGGGUAUCCACCACGACGAUACUGUGGCGAUACAAAAUAGCAACGGCUCCUAAAGGUAAAUCAGGUAGUUUAAACAUAUGACAGGUCAUAAUCGCAGUUUUCUCCUAAGUCAUAUCCAAGUCCAACAUAUGCAAGUAGAUAGUCACGGUAUUAAGCUUCGAUUCAAAUUCUACAUGUAAAUAUGCCAAAAUUCAUGAACGGAGCAAUCUCUAUCAACGAAUCAACACAACAAUAAUACAUGUCGACAAUCUAUAUACUUAGAAGAUAAACCGACGAUUAACCCACCUCAAUAGCUAAACCCAAUCCUGCGCGACGUCGGGAACGGCGGAAUCGCACCCUUGCCCGGCCUCCUCGCGACGCUACGACGACAAACGUACACUCGAACGGCACCGCGGCGCGACGUCGACGACGAUCCACACCACCCGAGCUCCAACGACAACCGGUCCUAGCUAGAGAGAGAGAUGAGAAGAAGAACAAUAUAAUCUCUCUCUCUCAGCUCUACACAUGCCUAAAUAGAGAGGGAGGGGAUGAGUAACAUGAGCGAGGUGAAAAAAGACCAAAAAGUCCUCUUACCUACCCAUGUAACGACCCAGCCCACUAGCAAUAAUAACUCGUUGGGCCCAACAACCGGCCCAAAAUGCUUAAGCCCAGUUAUUAUUACUAGUGUCUAAGUCUCUUAUAAACCCAAUGACAACCCCAUUUCUAUUCGAUGUGGGAUUAUUGGGGUGUCACAACCCAGGUGUACCGGUACACGAGUAGUUGUACCGGUACAAAUGGCAACCCGAGAGCAGCUGUGCGAAAACAGGCGAAAUGUACCGGUACACAUCCGAUGUUGUACCGGUACAGAAAGUGUACCGGUACACCUCUGAUGUUGUACCGGUACAACAAGCAUGAAAUCUGCAAUUUACAGAUUCUAAUGCUAACUUCUACUCUCGCGUCCCCACUGAGUCCGUUUUGCGUCUAUUUCGCGCCAACGCGACUCGGACUUGUCCCGACACCCUCACGACGUGUCGACAAGUCUCUACUGCUGUACACUAGGGAUGCCACAUAGAUGUUGGUCUUUAAGAAAAUAUGAAGGAAAAAAAAAUUUUGUUGCAUGAAGAUGAAAAGUACCUGCUCCAAUAAUAGUAUAGAUAAAUUGUUAGAUAAGUGAAAUGAUAAAUAUCAUAAUAUUAGUGAAAUUUUUCAGAAAAAGAUCUAAAUUUAUUUAAAAAAUAAAAUGACAGAGUUGAAUUGUUAAAAAAUUAUAAUUUUUGAAAUAACAUAAAGAAAAAUAAACCGCUUAUAUUAUAGAGAACCACCAGUUGAGAGAAUUGAGUUGAAAUUUCACUAAGCACCAUAAAUUGACUUAGUUCUCCGCUUAUAAUCCUAAAUUUUAUUUUUUAAUGUAAGUGAACAAUAUAUAUAAAAAAAAUAAUAAGGUUAUUGGUUAACUUACUUAUUUUUGAACUCUAAUAUUUCUGAUAUAUCAGUGUUGAUCAUCAUCUUAGUUGCAUAAAGAGAGUUUGAUAUACUACGUUGACCUAUGUUGCCCAUAGAUAUACAAUAAUUAGUAUAAUUAGUAAGAAUAUAAUAAUAUCUAAAGUUUGAAUAAAUGAGAUAGCUGCAAAGUCUUUUAUCUUGCACCAUUGCAUUAUAAUUAUGACAGGACCUUCAUCUCCUAUUUGUCUAUAAGUAUGAAGUUUUUCAGCAAACCUUCUCCACAAUGUGUAACCCAGCUUCUUGUUGCUAUAAGUUUUACAGAAAAAAAGUACUAAAUGACCAAAAGAUAAUAAAAAGAAGUAUUAAAGAGUUGCUAUCCUACUUAAAAAAUAUAUAUAUACAUAUAUAUAAAUUAUAUAUACAAAUUAAAAGGACCAUUGUACUACAAAUGCUACUUAUAAAACAAUUCAUUUUAUAUCAUAUAUAUGCCUACUUGUUUUUGGUUUAUAUUUAAUUAGAUAGAUAAUUUUUAUAUUUAUAUUUAUAUUAGCAAGAAAACUCCAAGAACAUAAAGUACCGUUAUUUAAGAUGUAGACAUGAGUGUCGUAUUAUAAAGUUAUCAAAUUGAUAAAUACAAUAUACUUUUGUUUUGGAUAAAACUGUCAAUCUAGUUAUUACUUUAUAAUAAUAAACAGCUAACUGAACAAAAACAUAUAAACAUUCAAAAGAUAUAUUUAUAAUUAUGAACACCUACUUGUCAUCCUCAAGUAGAAUCAUAAUUUUUUUUGUUACUUUACCGUCCUUGCAGCUUUCUUCCGUUCUACUAAUUCCAGAAAGCUUCCCAAUGACAUCUGAUAAAUUAGAAAAAUAAAAUGUAAGAAUUAAUAUAAUAGGUACACAUAUUAAAAAUUAAAUUUUAAAAAUCAAAUAUUUGAUACAUGUAACAACUCUUACCUACUAAAUAUUUGUCAUCAGCGACAUUAGCAAGUAUUUCAUCAAAAGGAGUAAAUAUAAAUGCAUACUUUGAUAUUGUCAAAAUAUCUUCCAUCUCACGUACAACCGUAGAAUAUUGAAAAUUGAUUUUGUAAGGAUAUUUAGUGGUCUUGUAGGAGCCACUGCUCUGCCCCACUCCAAACUGACUGAUUACAUAAACUUUUUAUUCGGUAAAAAGGCCUUUAAAUUUGUUUAAGAAAGCUUUUCUUACCGUUGCAUGUAUCAUAUCUCUCUAAAAUAGAAAAUAAACCAAUUAUGUAGUAUCUUUUAUUAAAAACAAAUCAAGUAAUAUUUCAGCAAAUAAAAGUUGUAACAUCCUAAAAAUUAUAAGUACUCUCAAGUCAUCAUCACCCAUUUGACGUGCAUCAUGUAACAUAUGCCUUCAAUAGAAAUAAUGGUUUUCACCAAAUAUCAUAAUACAGUAAGUUUAUAUGCAUGUAGGGACUCAUGUUACAUGUAAUUCAUUCACAAAAUAUUUGGGUCAUAUCUUUUGUUAGUGAAAAAUCAAAAAAGAAUGAAAAACUAAGUAGCGAUAGUAGGUUUUUAUAUUACAUGAAAACGUAUGUUCAAUUUGAAAAUAACAGUCGUAUCUUACAUUUUGAUCAGAAAGAACUAAAUCUAGGCUAUUCACCACCUCUGGACGAUGAAAUUCAGACAUAGUAUAUAGACAAAUCACUCUGACUUUGAUCUUCUAUUUGUCUCCAAGAGGAGUGAUGUCACUUAUAGAAUCAAACCCAAGUGUCAUAUCCUGAGAACUAAGAAAAAAAGUUAAUACUUGCUUUGUAUUUAAGUAAUAAAAUGAAAAUAAUAUGUUCUAUUUUAAAGCAUCAAUAUCUAAGAACUAAGAAAAACUGCUCAAUAGAUACUUAACUGAAAUGUGCUGAAUAAUAUUAAAACAAAGAGAAAAUUACAGAAGGAGUGAUAGUAGGGAAGUGGCAUGUAAUAUUAAUUGUAUAUAUAAUUAUAAUUUGAUUUAAUAGUGUUUAAUAGUGUUUCCUAAUAAAAUUCUAUUUAAUUGUAUAUAUAAUUAUAUUUAAUUGGUAUAAUUUGAUUUAAUAGUGUUUUCUAAUAAAAUUCUAUUUUUAUUAGAUCUAAUUGCUAUAUUUGAGUUUGACAUGUAGCAAGCAUAUAGAAAGAUGCAUGAUAAACAUUUAAUUUGAUUUAAUUUGAUUUAAUCGUGUAUAUAAUUAUAAUUUUAUUUAAUAGUGUUUAAUAGUGUUUCCUAAUAAAAUUCUAGUUAAUUGUAUAUAUAAUUAUAGUUUGAUUUAAUAGUGUUUAAUAGUGUUUCCUAAUAAAAUUCUAGUUAAUUGUAUAUAUAAUUAUAAUUUGAUUUAAUAGUGUUUAAUAGUGUUUCCUAAUAAAAUUCUAGUUAAUUGUAUAUAUAAUUAUAUUUAAUUGGUAUAAUUUGAUUUAAUUUGAUUUAAUAGUGUUUCCUAAUAAAUAACCUAUUCUAUAUUUGUAGUGUUUCCGAAUAAAAUUCUAAUUGGUAUAUUUUGAUUUAAUAGUGUUUUCUAAUAAAAUUCUAUUUUUAACCAUCUAAUUGCUAUAUUUGAGUUUGACAUGUGGCAAGCAUAUAGAAAGAUGCAUGAUAAAUAUUUAAUUUGCUUUAAUUUAAUUUAAUUGUACAUAUAAUUAUAAUUGUUUAAUAGUAUUUAAUAGUGUUUCCUAAUAAAAUUCUAGUUAAUUGUAUAUAUAAUUAUAUUUAAUUGGUAUAAUUUGAUUUAAUUUGAUUUAAUAGUGUUUUCUAAUAAAAUUGAUAUUCUAUAUUUGUAGUGUUUCCUAAUAAAAUUCUAGUUAAUUGUAUAUAUAAUUAUAUUUAAUUGGUAUAGUUUGAUUUAAUUUGAUUUAAUAGUGUUUCCUAAUAAAAUUGUUAUUCUAUAUUUGAGUUUGACACGUGGCAAGCAUAUAGAAAGACACGUAUCAGUUUUACACCAUAUAUUCUACUUUGGUAUAUAGUAAAUAGAUUAUUUUGUAAAAAAAAAGUGUGUAAUAGUGAAUAUCCAUUAGAAUAAUAAUUUAUCUUAAGUAUGCUUAUCAAUAAUGCAGCAAUACGCUUGCAAGUUUGGAUUAUGAUAGGAUCAUUUGUUUGGAAAAAUGGGUUGGGCAGAGUGUUUUUGUUGUUGGAUGGAAGAAGUGUGACACCCCAAUAGUCCCACAUCGGAUGGGAAUGGAGUGUGUCUUGGUUUAUUAAGACUUGAGCACUAAGUAAUUAAUAACUGGGCUUAAGAUUUUGGGCCGUUUGGCUAGGCCCACGAGUAUUAUUAUUGCAUAGUGAGGCUGGGUCGUUACAUUGGUACAGAGCUGUGUUCACCAGCCGGAAGCUGUGGCAGUCUGGCUGAGCAGGAGUCUUGAAGACAAGGUGGCUGCUUGCCAGGUUGGAUGACAAGGCUUGAGCGAGAGAGUCUAAUAGUCCUGGUGAUUCUUAGGCAUUGUGUGUGUGAUUGGCGACGAGGAACGUCAAGGCGCCUUACGCGGGGGAGUCUUGUGACACCAAUGUCACUACAUCGGAGUGGGAAUGGGGUUGUUCAUUGCGGUUUAUAAGAGCUUGACAUAGCUAUAUAACUGGGCUUAAGCAUUUGGUGCUGUUGGCUAGGCCACGAGUUAAUUAUUGUACAUGGUGAGGUCGUUAAAUUUUGUGUAUCAGGUGUGGAGGUUUUGGUAGGACCGGGGUCAGGGCUCUUUGUUUGAUGCCGUUCAGAUUUUGGUUCGCCCGUUCCAAGACUGAGCAUGUGGGACCGAUGGUGCCGGGCGAAGCAUGGGAGAUCAGUGGCGUUCUGAAGUGGAGGGGAUGGUGAGGGAAUGGUUUACAGAGCAGUGCGAACACAUCCCGCUCUCAACGUGGAGGGAUUACGGGCAAAUGCACUCUAGACCAACAUGCCCACAGGCCUAUUCAACGAACCACUAUUUAUAAAAAUGUAGACCCCAGAUGUCCUAUAUAUGGAAUAUAAUAGGCCUAACUUCUAUAACCCCGCUUAGAAUUUUGCGUGGUGGCUAGACCCAAGAGGUUAGGAGAGUUAGCGUGUAGGACGAUAAGUUCAUGAUGGUGACCACUGAGGAAGUCGGGGGAUACAGAUGGUAUCGAGCAUAUUACGAGCCGGAAGUGUGAGAUGUAGUCUCGGUCUGUAGCCAAGGUUGGAUGACGGGCUAGCAAGAUCGAGUUCACAUCGCCUGGGUAUUUGUGAGUCUGAGCCUGCGAGGACGUCAAGGGUCUUAAAGAAGGGGAUGUUGAACCCCAGGAUAUGUCCUAUAUAUGAGAAUUAAGUAGCGGCUAACUCUUAACCCGCUUAAGAUUGUGGGUGGUGGCUAGACCUAAGAGGUUAGAGAAGUUAAGCGGUGCUUAGGACAGGGAGUGAGUCCCUAGGUAUGGGUGACCCCCUAGGAAGUUUGGGGUUCACAUUGUGUUACCCCGAUAGUCUAUUUAUGAGAUUAUAAUAGGGCUAAACUCUUAACCCGGUUAAGCAUUUUAACGGUGGUGGUAGACCCAAGGGUUAGAGAGGUUUUUUUAGCGUUGCUAGGACGGGGUAGUCUAGGAUGGAGUGACCCUGGGAAGUAAAUGGGGACUCACAUGGAUAUAGAGCCAAUUACCAGCCGGAAAUUUGAGAUGAGUCUCGGUGAGUGAGGGUUGGAUGAAGGCUGCUAGGAGACAAGUCUCCAUCGCUGGUAACAACCCAAAACGUACUUGUGAGUCUGACGACCUGACGAGGACGUCAGGGCUUAAAGGACGGGGAGAUAUGUUGGACUCCAGGUAGUCCUAUUAUUAAGAUAUAAUAGGGCUAACUCUAUAACUCCGGCUUAGCAUUGUGGGUCAAGUCGCAGAGGCCCAAGAGGUAAGCGAGUAAGCGUGCUAGGACGGGAGUAGUCGCUAGGAGGGUGACCCCGGGAGUCGGCGGGUCCACGUGGUAUCAGAGCCAAUUACCAAGCGGUAAGUGUUUGAGGAGUUCGGCUGAGCCAGACGGGUAUGGAUGCGGUGGCUAGCGAUUAUGGUCUCAAUCGCCUCGGUAUUUGUUGGUCUGGCCUGACGAGGAGAUUGGAGAGAAACCACACUACGCAACAAACAACAAACCGAGAAAAAGCAAAACGCAAAUCGAAGAACCAUAGAACAAGUCAGGGCUUAAAGAAGGGGAGAUUGUGAGACCCAGAUAGUCCUAUAUAUGAGAUAUAAUAGGGCUAACUUUAACGCGUUAAGAUUUUGAGGUGGUGGCUUAGACCUAAGAGGUUAGAGAGUUAAGCGUGCAUAGGACGACGGAGUUAGUCUAGGAUGGGUGACCCCUGGGAAGUGGGGCGUUACAUUUAGUAUCAGAGCGGUUAUUAGCUGGAAUGAUGUGGAGAGUCUCGGCUGAGCCAGGGUCUGGAUGACGGGCUAGCGAGACGAGUCUCACAUCGCCUGGUGAUCUUGGGCUGUGUGUGUGAUUGGACUGACGAGGACGUCAGGGCCUUAACGGGGGGAGUCUGUGACACCCCAAUAGUCCCACAUCGGAUGGGAAUGGGGUUGUCAUUGGGUUUAUAAGAGACUUAGACACUAGUAAUAAUAACUGGGCUUAAGCAUUUUGGGCUGUUGGUUUGGGCCCAACGAGUUAUUGUUACUAGUGGGCUGGGUCGUUACAAGAAGAGAGAAAAAAGAUAGAAGAAAUGUAUUAAAUUGAUGCGACCCCAACUUUUCUUUUAAUAGUUUCCUUUUAAUAAACAAGUUCAAAUUCAAAUAUCUUAUUAUUUAAGAAUAUGUCUAGGAAUAGACAAUUAUCUUGUUAUUUAGGAAUAUAUUUAGGAAUUGAUUUAUUUAUGUUAAAUUAGGUAUGAUUACAAGUAAUUUGAGGAUAUGAGCUCUAAAUAAUGUAAUCCGAUAUUACAAGAAAUAAUCAAGCAAUAUUAUCUCUUUUUCCUCAUAUCUUGUCUUCUCUCUACCACUUCUCUCUAACUUUCUACCCCUUAAUUCUCUGUAGGCACGAUCCCCUCGAAGUGAUCGAUUCGGUAUAGUAGGAUUGUUUCAUUUGGUAUCAGAGCUUGUAUGGUCUUGACUCGAGCAAAAAAAGGAUCCUUGCGAAAGAUGGAGAAGGAGUUUGUACGAAGGGAGGAAAUGAACAACGUUGAUACUCGAUUGAACAAACUGGAGAUCGAAGUAAGGUUCAUUAGCGAUUCUACUAAUGAUCUUAAAACUUUAAUUAUCGCUAUGAACACAAAGAUGGAUGUGCGACCGCAAGUUCCGAUAAAAAUAGUCCUCUUCUUCCUACUCCCUUCAAGGAAGAGGCAUUGAUUCCUUCUAUGUAGAACUCUAUGAUGGUGAUACUGUGAAACAACCGUUGUACUCUAAAAUCUUAAGCUGUUAAAGAAUGAUGUUUAUAUAAUUUUAUAUUUAGCACUCCCCCUCACGUCUGGGCUCGAAACUUUUUGCAAGCCCAAGACGUGCAAUUGAAUUAAAUAGGAGAAAAUUAAUUAUGAUAGGGGCCUGACAUGGCUUGAACUCGGGGCCUCGUGUCACAAGACUGGAGUUUCCCCGAUUUGAUGGUGAUGGACUAGCUGGAUGGAUGUACCGAGCAGAGCAAUUUUUUAAUUUUAAUCAAAUACCAGACAUCCAGAGGGUUCCGCACGCAUCUUAUCAUAUGGAGAAGGGAGCGUUACAAUAGCUUCAAUGGUUCGAGAAAAGCUGUGGAGUCAUGGCAUGGGUGGAUUUCGUAGAAGCUCUUUGUACUCGUUUUGGUCCAACUAUGUACACAGACUAUAAGGGAGAACUAACAAAAUUAUAACAAGGUUCGACGCAAAGUGUUCGUGAUUAUCAGGCCCGAUUUGAAAUGCUUGCAAACCGCACGACGGGGCUAUCCGAGGCAUUUUUCAUAAGUUGUUUUGUUAGCGACUUGCGAGAGGAUCUCGAGCAUGAUGUCCGAGCCUUCCGAUCGACAUCUAUCUCUGCCGCAAUUGGUCCUACAGACCUUCAGGAGGAAAAGCUUUUAGCCCAACGACGUCAGGUAAGACCUACCCCUACUAGGCUGAGUAUUUCUACGACCAUAAUCCCUAAAGAGGCUCUCCCACCAAUUAAGCGUUUCAUGCCGGCCGAAGCGAAAAUAAGAAGAGAAAAAGGGCUAUGUUAUAAUUGCAAUGAGAAAUAUAGCCCAGGUCAUCGAUGCAAAACAAAGCAAUUGUUUUUUAUCGAAGGCGAGCCUAAUGAAGAUAAUAUGGAGGACACUCCUGUGGAUAUUAAUACCGAAGAAUUGUAGGCGAAAAUUUCUAUGCAUAUUAUAUCCGGGUCGUUGUCUGCCCAAACAAUGCAUGUGAAGGGCCUUCUUAAGCGACAACCGGUUGCCAUUCUCAUCGACUCAGGAAGCACCCACAAUUUCAUAUAUCGCGAUCUAGCCCAGAGAAUGCACUACCAUAUUGCUGAAGAAAAGCAUUUUGAGGUAAUGGUUGCCAACGGGGAGAAAGUCGCAAUUGGUGGUAAAUGUUUCAACAUACCUAUUACUCUUCAAGAUUAUUAUUUUAUAACAGAUUUCUAUGUUUUCCCUCUCGGUUGGUGCGAUGUGGUACUUGGAGCCCAAUUGUCACGCCCCGAGCCCGAUCCUUUUGGCCGAUUCGAGCGCGUCAAACAGACGCCGAACGGACAGAGUCUCCCCUGCCCGCCCAAGGCUCAAUAUCCUAUACAAAUAGAGUAUAAAUUUUGCACAAAACGGAAGCAUACACAAUGGCUUGCACGAGGGCAAGCAAUAGCCAAUAGUGAAAGUAAUAAACUACACUUUAGGAAUUUAUUUAUAUUUUUGCAUCAUUUCUUUUAUACAUCACAUAUUCCUCAAAACAUAACCAUUUGCAUUGAAACAUAAACCCCUUUUUACAUCAUUCAUUUAACAUGUUCAUCUAAAAUCAACAAAAUACAAAAGAUGAUAACUAAAGGAUAUGCAACUAAACCAAAAUGUGAAACCAACUCGGGUGGUCUCUAACUAUAGAGCGAUACCUUUACCGCGAUCAUCCACCGGCUCGUUUGGUCCCGGCUCUGUGGAAAAUAGGGUGUGAGAACUACAACAAAGUUUUCAGUGGGUUCGGCAACCAACCACACUGACUUUCCCACUAGGUCUAAUCAGGCAUAAUAGAAAAACAGAUAGAUAGAAACCAACUAAACAAAUGCAGCUAAUAUGCCUGAAUAAUAAGUAAUGCGAUGCUCGAUAAAAUACUCAUGAUAAAUGCAAGGUCAUAAUCUCAUUGCCCAAUCUCUUGGCUAACCCAUAGGUUUCGCCCUCAACAACUCGCCAACCAAAUCCCUACUAUCGGAGAGAUACCCGCUACAACCCAACGGGACCGUCCUCUGAGGAGAUACUCGCUACAACCCAGUAUGACAACUCCGGAGCACAUCGCCCGAGGGGGAGCUACCACCCUCGAACAAGGACUUACAGCUGAGUAUGAUCCAAUCCUUAACUAUAAGGAUGUCGAGUCGAAUCCAUUCCUUAUCUAUAAGAAAACAAUGCACAUAUGACCCUUAACUCUAAGGUUGUUAUGUCAUAAUGUCGCUAUCUCUAUUUACUUGCAUUCUUUAACCUUUACUAGUGUCAUAUACACUACUUGUUCUUGUACAUAUGCCACACCUGUUUUCUAAGUGUUACAACUCUAGCAUUCUCGACUCAUCAUUGUCACUUUCUACUUCUAUGUCAAGAUGUCACAUUUGUUUACUAAGUCCACUAAAUUCUUGUCACUUGUCAUGCAUAAAUAGGGUUAUUAAAAUUCUCACAUGCAUUUGAACUCAUAACAUGCAAAAAAGAAGCUUACAAUUACCCUACUAUGCAAUAUGCUGAAAUACAUACAUAUGCUUAAGUAUGACACUUUAGGUAUAAAAAAAAUUCCGAGGUUCUUGGUAUGCACCACCCACCUUAGAUGGUUGAGAGGAUGCUACGGUGAAUUUCUUGAAAUUUUUGAAGCCCUAUUUUUUUCGUCUGUGGCAAAACGAAGCCAAAUUAAGCUUUUUCUCAAUAACUUUAUUUAAACCUUUUCGUAACGUCAAACGGAGUUGUCCCACGCAUCAGGAAUACCCCCAAUUAGGUUUUCUAUAAGGUCAAUUUGCCUUAGAAACUUUUCAGGACAAAAGCCCUAAAUUUGGUGCCCUAACAACACUGUUUGCUCAAUCCUAAGUUUUGAUCUCUAAAAUAAGCAAAAGAGAGCUUAUCCAACAUCUAGAAGCUCAUUUAGAACUAUCUAAACUAUUUCUAGGGUUUAGAAUGCAAGCCCUAAAAAUCCACCAUUAGAGAGUUCCAAGAAACUAGGUUUCAUGUAUUCUAUAGCUCCAAUUAGGUUUCUACACUCAUUAGAAAAUCAAAACCUAGUUUUCUAGGACAUAAACCCAAACCCUAGCCUAAGUUUUCAUGAAAACCUCACCUUGGCCCAAAGCUCUCCAAGGUCCACCUUAUAGGAGAGAUCCCAAACCCUCAAAGCCUCCAAAUCCACCUUCAAAAGCCUUCUCUACUCCUUCUCCUUGCUCUGUGGGGAGAGUUCUAGAGAGAAAAAGAGAGAAAUAAGAGAGGAGGUGUGUAGUGGCUGUGGGAGAGGGAGAGAGGAGUGUUGGGGUUAUGUAUAAGGUGCUACAAUUACCAAAAAUCCCACCACUUAUUCAUAUGUGUAGCAGUUUUCAACCUGCUAUCGGGCCCAAAGUGUACCAGUACACUUUAAGGUGUCACCGGUAACACGAUCGCGUAUAGCCAAACCUGAGAGCAGCUCCCUCGGGUUUGGAGCAUUUGUACCGGUACACUUUUAUUUUGUACCGGUACACUUGUCUGUACCAAUGACAACUCGAUGGUUGUACUGGUACACAUUGCCUAGACCUGAUUUUUUGCUCCGUUUCGAUUCUAUUUCGCGCCGAUUUAUGCCAAAACCUUUCUAACACCUCUUAAACUCAUUUUUAGCCCUUCCAACCUUGUUGAAAUGCUAAAUGAAACUUGUCCAACUAUUUCUUUCGCAUUUUUCACUUUUAAAUCGCGCCGAGUAAUGCUAAAACUUGUUUAACACUCUCGAGACUCGAUUUUGACCCUUCCAACGCUGUUAGAAGGUCAACUGGAGUUUGUCCAUCCAUUUUCCUCGGCACUUUAACCAAUUUGGCUAAAGUUCGAUAAUCGCUAUCGGGGUUUCGAUACGUUACACCAAUGGCUUCAUACUCUUAGACCUAUUCUUUGGGAUUUUUCAAAGCUUUCUAUGCAGUUUACAAUCAAUGGUCAGCAGUAUUCAAUCAAAGGAUCAAGAGCGCCAGCAUCGCAGAUCAUAAGCAAUAUUGUCUCUUUUUCCUCGUAUCUUGUCUUCUCUCCACCUCUUCUCUCUAUCUCUCUAUCUUUUAAUUCUCUGGAGGCACGAUUCCCUCGAAGUGAUCGAUCUGGUACGGUAGAAUCAUAUCAUAAAUGAAUAUAACAGUAUACGGAAGAAAUAUGUGAUUUACGUAGAAACCGUCUGGUUAUUUUUAUUAAAGCUUUAAAAUGAUGAAACUGAUUAUGUGGGAAUUAGUUUUUGAAAAGCAGCUCUAAAUUGUUUCUAAUUCUAGUGCCAUAAAAAUCAGUUUUCUAAUUCUGAAAAAUUGAAUUAGUUUUUUUAAUGAUUGCUUUCAAUCUCUAUUGAGCCAAAAAUCACUAACACCCACUAUAAGAUAGAAUUAUUUUUGUAUUUAUAAUUUGGCUAAAUUAUAUAAAACCUUCCUGUCAAUACCCACUUUUUGACUUCCCCCCUGUCAUUCAGAAACCUACACUCUGCCCCCUUAUAAAAUAUUUAUAGGAGGGAACGGUGUGACAAAAUGACCAAAUUGUCCUCAUUUUUUUCGUCUCCUCCUCCCCAAUCUUGCUCAUCCCGAUGGCGGAGGAGGGUGAGGGCGUGUGUCUGGGCAUGGACAAAGGGGUGCGCGAGGGCGCUGCAGCGGAGGGCGAGGUAGCGGCCGAAGGCAUGUGUGUGGGCAUGGAUGAGAGUUUUAGGUGUAUUUUGGGUAUAAAAAUCCUAACAGAACACUGAUGGAGUGAGCCGAAGUGAAUAUUUUUUAUUUUUUAAGGGGGCAAAAUGUAGAUUUUUGAAUGACAGGGGAGAAAAGUAAAAAAAUGGGUAUUAACAGGAAGGUUUUCUAUAAUUAUAUAAUGAAUCCUCAAGCAAGCAGGAGGGGCUAGAGUCUGUAUUUUUUUUCUAAUUUUAAUUAUUUUCUCUCUCCACUAAUUUCGACUGAGUGAAUUGGACUUAUGUUUUUCUUUUAAUCUAAUUUACUUUUUCUAUCAUUAUACAACAUUUAAAAUAUAUAAUAUUUUACACAUAAUAUAUAUCUAUCUAUAAAUAUAAUGAAUCCUCAGUUUCUUGAGCCUACGUGGCGGAAAAGGGGAGAAAGACGGAGAGCACGAGGGACUGAAGCCAACAUUUUUUUUUGAAGGGUUAGAUAGCUGAUACAAAAUAGUUCAUAGUAUCGAAAAAUUUUAUUGUUUUUAGUUCGAUUUUAAUAUCAAAUUUUAAUGUCAUAUUUACAGUUUGAUGAGCAAUCAAUUUCACAUUUAAAUUUUUUUAGGAUCUCUAAAAUAUAAGUGGUUGGCUUUUAUUUUAAGAAUUGUGCAUUCUAAAAUUUAUUAGAUAGUUUAACAUAUUCUUUCGUCGAAUGAAAUUACUAAUUAAACAAAAUCAGUCGAUGCUCAAUUUUAUCUUCGUUUGGAAUAAAAUUAAAUUUUAAAAGAAUAAAUGACGUUUUUGGUUCCAAACUAUAAGAUGCGCGACACUUUAGUCCUUGAAUUUUAAUAUUUUACAUUUUCUUGCUCAAACUAUGAGGCACAUGACACUUUAGUCUUCAAACUUUAAUUAGUUGCAAUUUCUGGCUUGAAUUAUGACGUAUAUAAUAAUUUAAUUUUACAAAUAUAGAAAAUUAAGAAAAUAUAAAUAAACAUUCUUUAUAAUAUAUAUAUAAGAUUAUUUAAUAUAUAUUUUAUUUUUUUAAUUUUAAAAUCAAUAUAUAUNNNNNNNNNNNNNNNNNNNNNNNNNCCCCCCCCCCCCUCUCUCUCUCUCUCUCUCUCUCUCUCUCUCUCUCUCUCUCUCUCUCUAUUUUAAUUUCUCUCUCUACUCUACCCCCUCUCUCUCUCUCUUUCUCUCUCUCUCGUCUAAUGAGAUUAAGAUGAUUGAUUAGCUACCCACACACACACACACACACACCAACUAACAGAAGCACCAAUUGGGUGCCAAUUAUGAGGGAAAGGAAACCGACCAACGGAGGGGGUAAACGGCCUUUUCCAUCAUCAUCUCCAUCAUCAUCGUCGUCGACACCACCGUAUGUGUAUAUAUAUACGUACGUACAUAUCUUCAUAUGUACAUGCUAUAUAUGUAACCCCGCAUAUUAUUUUGCUGAGAGGUUGAUUAAUUGAUCACACAGAUUUUUUUUUUUUGUAUUAACUGUACUAUAUACCUAUUUGAUACAUUUGAAUUCAACUGCUGCAAUUAGAACUGUAUAAGAAGAUUCAAGCGAGCAGUUUUAGACAAAAGAUAAACUUAACUCCUUAAUAUUUUUUUAAUAUAUAUAUAUAUAUAUAUAUAUAUAUAUGAUGAUUUUUUUGAUAUAAAUUAGCAUACAAAUAUAUAUAGAGAGAGAGAGAAAGAGGGAGAGAGAGAGAGAGAGAGAGAGAGUAUGACUAUUAUAUUCUUACCGGUAUAGAGUUUUUUUGUACUCAUAAGUUAUUUUAAAAAUAAAACUUUCGAAUCAAUGAUCCACACAGUUAAAUAUGAUGUAGAGUUGUUGGAUUAGAAACACGGGGCAAAACUAACUAGAUCAAUGCGUUGAUUGAGUCAGACACUGCCUCGAGAGGCGAAUCGACUUCUGAAAUGAUCCUCAAAUGUGUCACUACUAAGUCGAGCGAUUCAGUUGAGAAGGGAUCGGCUCAACCAGACUCUUUCACUAAUUAUUUUCGAGUGAAUCGAAAUGCGAGCUCAACUAAUUAAAGAACCGAAUUAUUUAUGUUAAUUUGAAAAGGGCGAUUAAAAAAAGGGCUAAAUUACAUAAAACUUUCCUGUCAAAAUCUGAUUUUUUACUUUCCCUCCCUAUCAUGUAAAAACCUACACUUUGCCCUCUUGUAAAAUGAAAAAUAUUUACUUCGCCCCCUGCCGUUAGUAAUCUGUUAGGGUUCCAUUUAUAAAAUAUUAUUAUAUAUUUUUUUAUACCAAAACUGCCCUCAGCCUUCUCUCUUGUGAAUAUAAUCAGGGGCAAAAUGUUGAGAGGCAAAAUGGUCAUUUUGUCAUCACAGUUCACACCGUACUUUUCUGUAAACAUUUUUCAUUUUACAAGGGGGUAAAGUGUAGGUUUUUAAAUGACAUGGGGGGAAAAGUGAAAAAUCAGAUUUUGACAGAGAGGUUUUCUGUAAUUUAGCCUAAAAAAAAUGUUACAAAGAGUAAAAUCUACUCCUUAGAAAGAUCUUAGAAUUAACUAAACUCUUAGAUGGAAAAAAAAAAAAAGAAGAAUAUAUGAACUACUACUAGAAAACCGUAAAUGCCGGGAAGAAGGAAUUGAAGUUUGUUGUGGUCACUUGUUUGUGUGAUGGACCUUUAUCACAAGCGCAUUUUUUUCUGUUUAUAAUAGCGUAUUCUCCGGCCUGCAGUAAAUGGGUAAAACUUUUAAAAAAUACUUUUCAUAUUUUUUUUUAAAUUAUAUUAAAAUCUAUCAAAUAGGCAUAAAAUAAACAGCCGAUCUUAAACGACCUUGUAAAAAUAAAUAACUAGAUCCUUUAUUGAUCUUUAUCUAGAUAGUAAAUAAGAUUCUCUAUAAAAAAAAAAAAAAAAAAUCAAUCAACUCUUGAUUCUUAACUUUUUUUUUAAAAUUUUUUAAUCAAAAUUACAGGUCUUUUGGCACGUUGGUACAACCCUCUUAUUUUUCAUCACUAUAAAUAAAUAAAUAAAUAAAUAAAUAAAUUGAUGGAGCAAUUUUAAAUUGAUACAACUUUGACAUUUCCCACACCCACACACCCUAGCGUUAAGAUUUGAACAUGUAUUGUUGGACUUUGACGCAUAAAAAGGAAAAUUAUUGUAUAUGUGAUAUUUUAGUCAAAUUUGAAUUCCAAUAAGAUGGCUUUAAAUGAUGCUAAUAAACCUAAAUGGCUUUGGAUAUUGGGACAAAGAGUAAAGGCUUAAUUAUAAAAACAUACCCACAUUUAUUUACCUUUUGUCUUAAUUACCUUUCUGUAAAAAAAAAUUAGUAAAAAUGUAUAAAAAUUACUUAAAUUAUGACCAAUUUUAAUUUGACUAUCCAAUCUUUCAAAAUUUUAAUUUUACUAUCCAAAAUUUUAAUUUGUUUGAUUUGAGUAAGCCAGCGACACUUUGACUAUAAAAUUUAAGCUAAUUAUUUUAUUUAAUAAAUUUAUAGUUUGAAAAAAUUAUAUAAAAUUAAUAUACUUACUAAACCUGUAAAGAUAAACGACGCGUUCAAAUUUUGAAGUCAAAGUGAGUCGUUGGCUAGCUCAAUCAAUUGAUCCAUAGUUCUAGUAAGUUCUGUACAUUUUUGCCUAAAAAAUUUUAACGGUGUCAAUCCUUCACUUUAGUCUUGUGUCAAAUAGGUCUUUAAUAAUUUAGAGAUUCAAUUAUGUUUUAAGAAAAGUGUUAACGGUGAUGACGUGGUAAGAUUAUUUAACAUUAAGGGUGCGUUUGGUUCGCAUUUUGAAAAAUUAUUAGGAAUAAAAGAUAUCCGAGAAUCUUAUUCCUAUUCAUCCUAUUACUAAGAAUGUGGAAUUGCUGUGUUUGGUUCGCACGAUAAUAUUAAUUAGCCAUGUUAUUUAAUAUUACAAAAAAUAUACAAUUAAUUAAUUAAUUUAUUUAUUUAAUUUUAGAUAAUGUUACCAAAAGUUUCAACAUCUUUUUAGAAAAAAGGGAGAGAGAGUAUAAGUUAGAGAGAGAGAGCAUAAUUAAAAAAAUAUAAAGAAAAAUAUAGUCAAAAUUAGAGGAAGUGAGAGAGUUGAAAUUUUAGAAAGAGAGAGAGAGAGAGAAAAAGCUUAGUUUAGAGAGAAAAAAAAAAGUUGAAUUUUAAAGAGAAAAAUAAGUUUAGAGAGAUAUAAGUUAGAGUGUAAAGAAAAAUAAUAUCAAUUAGCCGGCGGGUAGGAAGAAAGAAAGAGAUUAAACAUAUUAUGAUUAUCCCAAUCCAUUAAUAUGAGGAUACCUACCCUCCCUCAAGGGAAUGAGAUUAGUACUUUGGAGUGAAUCUUAUUCCCAAGUGAAUCCAAUAUUAUCAAUUAGAUUACUUAGUGCAUUUAACCAAAUACCGUUAUAUUUUUUUUAUUCCCAUUGAAUUACUAGGAAUCUUUAAAAGAUAGCGCGAACCAAACGCACCCUAAAAGCAUUUAAAUUCACAUGUGAAUAUCUUCCUCUUAGGUUUUGAUAUUAGGAAGUGUGCUUAAAAGAGCUAAGAUGAGUUUCAAAAUGUGAUAUCUCAACAUGCAGUUGUUAAAUUAAUCAAAAAUCCUAACGGAAGGAUCUAUUUGAGAUAGAACUAGAGUGCAUGGUUGACAUUAUUAUUGUUAUUAUUAUUAUCCUAAGAAAAAUGUAGUAUACUAUUCGUUUUAUUUUUUUUUUUUAGAAAUAAAUUUAGCUAAAAACAUAAACUAACUAGAACUUAGCUGAAAAGGCGUAAUGUUAUUUGAGUGGUGUUUGAAUAUAGCAUUCAUACAUUACGCUUUUUCGUCAGGUCGCACGUCCAUGACCGGUAUGAAAAGUAAGAUGUAUAAGAGAAAAUUGACCAAUCUGAUCAAGUGGUAGAUUAUUGUCAUAUGAUAUUUUAUUCCUUUCCACAUAAGAUGUUGAUUAUUGUUUAUCAUAAUAAGAUAAGAAUACGAAUGAAUUAUAUGUUUAUUAUUAACUAAGAAACAUAUCACCUAAUAUUUUGAAAUUCAAAUCGCAUGUGAAUAGAGUUAAAACAUAACCGGCCAAUAUGGAUAUACCACAUGGCAACACUACCUAUACGACGAAAGCUGGGGUGAGCCGAGUCACAAUCGAGAACCAUGAGUUAAUUUGUGUUUGUAUAUUUUAAGUACAUCAGUCGUCUCCUUUUUAUUAAUUUGAACUUUGGAAAUUCUUGUUAGUACCCAACGAUCUAACAAAGCGAUAUUACAGUAGCACUCCUUUUCUCAUCGUUUGGUCCGAAAAUAAACUGUUCUUUCUUAUUCUUGAUAUAGGUACAAUUCUUGAAAUAAGCAAGAAUAAGAUCAAUUUUGUAUUUGGAUGAAAAUUAAAUUAUUUCUAAAAAUUUUAAAAAAAUAGUAUUUGAAUAAUAUUUGGAUAUAAAGGGAAAAAUAAGAGUUUAUUUUCUCUCUUAUGUCCGAAUCAAACGGUGACUUUAUUCAAAAUAAUGUAAUAGCAAAAUGUUGACAUUUUUGCUUUUAAGCUAUUACCAUCUUAUUUUUAUGGGCCAUCUUGGUGGACACAAAUUACAAUGUCCAAGCUGUAGUCCUCUGUUUUAGAGGAAAGUCUACUGCAUAGCAUUUACAUCACAUACUACAAUAGAAUUAGGUUAUAGAAAUAUAUUUCUGAAAUAUUUUAAUAUAAAUGUUCCAUUUAUGUCAAAAUUUUUAAAAAAAUCUACUAAGGCGUAAAUAUAAAGUUCGAUCCAACUAAAAAUAAAAAGUUUCUCUACUCAACUAACCCCAUCCAGCUCACUUGACUCGAUUAUAAAUAGAAAAGAAAAAAUAAAAAAAAAUUUGAUCACCAUCUCCUCUUCUCCUCCUCCGCCGUCGCAACCGACGAGGUAGACGCGAGGAUCUCGUAGGAACCGUAGAGAACUACGAUCGCCACGUGUCCCUUCGCCAUAUGCCGCUGGAGGAAUGAGUACCAAACAUCGAGGCGGCCCCACAUAUAGCGACCUUACAUAUAGCAACACUUUUAAAAAGCGUCGGUAAUUUAGCCAGCAGUAAUUUUUUUUGACCUUUUCCGAUAUUUAAAAGUGUCGCUAUAUGCCCUUUUUGUUAUAGUGACAUCAUUUAUCCCCAACUAAUUAUUUUUUUUAUUUUGAAAGAAAAGUACAAUAAAAAUAAUUUUCUAAAUAUGAUGAUGGAAUGGGUGAGUUUCAAAAGAGCUUUUUUUUAUUGAUUGAAGACAACAUAUCAGCAAUAUAAAUAUUGUAUUCUAAAAUUUUUCCUAUUUUAGAGGACAUCCUAAAGCUUCUGCAUUGGUUUCAUCAGAAAAAAAAAAAAAAAAAAAAAAAAAAAAAAAAAAAAGAAAAAAAAAAAAAAAAAACCUUUGGGAUAACAUUUUUGAUAAUGUAAAAUAUUUGUGAGGUCACUCCAUGCAUGCCACUUCUUAAGUAUAAGAAAUGCAAUUCAAUGCGAAGUUCUCNAGAAAAAAAAAAAAAAAAAAAAAAAAAAAAAAAUCCCAAGGACUCUAGUUGGUUGGAUAAAAGAAUAUGGUAAAAGUAGAAAUGUCAACAGAUCGAAUUCAAAAAAGAGUUUAAAAAAUUUGAUCCGAACCUGAUUAUCAAAUUUGGAAUCCAAAUCCGACAGAUUCUAAAAAUUCAUAUCCAAAUCCGAAUUCGACCAAAAAUCCAAAACUCAAACCGAACCCGAAAACUCCAAGUUGAAACAAUUAUUUCUUUUUACCUAUUUCAAAACAUUUUACAUCAAAUCUAAAUUUCUAAAAUAAUCAAAAAUAACAUCAAAUAUUUGUAUAUAUUAUAUAAUGCAAAAUUAAUUCGAGUUCAGGUCCUGUUCGAGUUCGGCAUCGGGUCGGUUAUAGACAAAAUUCAUAUCCAAAUCCAAAUCCGUCGGAUUUUCAUUUUUUAUACCCAUAUCCGAAACUUAUCCAUUUAGUAUCGGAUAAAUCCGCUCCGUUCGAAUUCAGAGUCCAAUAAAAUUUCAUAUAUCCGUACCCAUUGACGUCCCAAGCUGUACGGAGACCUUCUUAACUAUAGGGCAUUCAAAAAUAGGUCCCUCAGAUUUUAUUUUUUAAUCCAUAUUUUUUAAACUUUUUUAAAAAAACUUGAAUAUCUUUACGCCGUUAAACGAGAAAACGCUUCAUAUCGACCAUUAAAAUUACAAAUUUUGAAACCCUUUGAUCAUUAAGCAAAUGAUGUCGAAAAGAAUUGAAAUUUGAUUUCUAAACACUUCAAGUGGUAUAAAUCAUGUUCAACGGUGCCGAUCGUCGAUUUGGAGGCUCCAUCAUCGAAAACAAAUGGGUGGCAAAAGAGUCAGUUUGUUAUCGAUAGUAUUCUAGCUCAACUCUCUCUCUCUCUCUCUCUCUCUCUCUCUCUCUCUCUCUCUAUAUAUAUAUAUAUAUAUAUUAAUUUAUAUUUUUAAAUUAAAUAUAUUCAAAAUUAUAUUUAUGACUAUAAUAUAUAAUAAUAUAUAUUUAGGACUAUAUAAUAUAUAUUUAAUAUUAAAUAAUAUAUAUACACACAUUUAGAAAAUAAAAUAUUAUGUAAUAAGAAUUGAGCUCUUAUGCUUUUAACAGUACUAUAAGUUAUUGGUACUUGUAAGUUUUCGGUACUUGGAUUAAGGAAUAUGUAGCUAGGAUGAUAGCGAUCGUCUAAAGUUGAGUGAGUGAUUAGUUGAAUAGUAUGAUCUAACGGAUAAAAAGGUCAGAUAGAUAGAUAUAACGGCAGAAAACUUACAAAUAUCAAAUAUUUUAUACUUUUACACGUGUCAUAACCGGACUCAUAUAAUAAUAUAUAUAUUAAUGUAAAGAGAGAGACAUCGACAAAGAGAUAUAUAGAUCGAUACAUACCUCUCUCACGUGGUCCACGAGGUCCCACGUACGUCACCUCGCGGAUCGCGUGUGAGCAACUUCCAUGAGCCCUCAUUCCCCCUCGGGAGUUUUUGUUUUCCGCGUUUUCUGCGGUAAAGAAAGCGAAAACGAAAGCUUCAAUUUUUUUCCAAUCCCGUAAAGUAUUUUUACGAAAAAUUAUUUAUUAACGUCGAACCAAAUAAAUAAAAAAACUAAUUUUCAAAUCGAAAAUAGUUUUCAGCUUUGUUUUACAUCUAACGAAACACAUCCUAAGUGCGAAUUAGUAAGAAAACUAACAUCGCUAAGGAUACAUUUAGUUCCACGUAAAAUUGUUAAAAAAAGAAAAAAAUCGGGGAAAAACUAUUUUUGGUGGAAAAAUAAUUUUUUCAUUCGAUGUGUUAGGAUGGUAUGAAAAGGAAAAUAAUUUUGUAAUAAAGUUGUUUGGUUUGGCGGAAAAGGAAACAAAAUAUUUUUUUUUAUUUUUUGUUGUUAAUAUAUAUUUACUAUUUAAUAUUAGACAAUAUAUUUAAUGUAAUAGAUGCUAAUUAAAAUUACACAAUUUAAUUUUUUAAUUAUAUUAAAUAUAGUAACAAAUUAUAUAAGUUAAUAUAUAUAGAGAGAGAAACACACACCUAUUAAUAGUAUAGAUCAAGUCUAACGGAGCCAAUCGUCGAUUUGGAAGCCGCAUCAUUAAAAACAACUUGGUAGCACGGAGGCCUCCGUGCUACCGAUAAUAUACCAGCCUAGCUCUAUAUAUAUAUGUGAGACCUCAGAUAGUCCUAUAUAUGAGAUAUAAUAGGGCUAAACUCUUAACCCGGCUUAAGCAUUUUGGAUAGUGGCAAGGCCCAAGAGGUUAAGAGAGUUAAGCGUGCUAGGACGGGAGUAGUCCUAGGAUGGGUGACCCCUGGGAAGUUGGGGCGUCACAUAUGGUAUUAGAGCCAAUUACCAGCCGGAAGUGUGAGAUGAGUCUCAGCUGAGCCAGGGUAUGGAUGAUGGGCUAGCGAGAUAAGUCUCACAUCGCCUGGUACUUGUGAGUCUGAGCCUGACGAGGACGUCAGGGCUUAAAGAAGGGGAGAUUGUGAGACCUCAGAUAGUUCUAUAUAUGAGAUAUAACAGAGCUAAACUCUUAACCCGGCUUAAGCAUUUUGGGUGGUGGCAAGGCCCAAGAGGUUAAGAGAGUUAAGCGUGCUAGGACGGGAGUAGUCCUAGUGGGUACCCUGGGAAGUUGGGCGUCACAAUAUAUAAUAUAAAUAUAUAUAUAUAUAUAUAUAUAUGAGAGAGAGAGAACAGGGCUGCUGUGCUCUAAGGAGCACGGAGGCUCCGUGCUCUGAGCCGUUUUCGAUGAUGGAAUUUUCGAAUUGACGAUCGGCUCCGUUAGACUUGAUCUAGCGCAUUUGAAGUUUCUAGAAAAUAAUUUUUGCGAUUUUUCUAUAUCAUUUAACCUAGUGAUCGAAAGGAUUCAAAAUCUAUAAUUUUUAAUGGUUGAUAUCUGCCGUUUUCAAGUUUAACGGUGUAGAAGUAUUCAAAUCAGAUGAAAUUUUGAUAGAAAAUUCUUAUACUAUCUACAACAAGAUCUAUCUUUCUGAUCGAAAAUUUUAGUGCUUAUAUCAUCACUUUUUAUAGGAUUUUUAUUUCUCAGCCGUUAAAAAUUAUUGAUUUUGAAUCCUUCGAUUGCUAGGUAAAUGAUAUCGAAAAAUCGCAAAAAUUAUUUUCUAGAAACUUUAAAUACGCUAGAUAAGUUUAACGGAGCGAUCGUCGAUUCGAAAGCUCAUCAUCGAAAACGGCUCAGGAGCACAGAGGCCUCCCGUGCUCCUGAAUGCCAGCCAGCCCUGCCUAUAAUAUAUAUAUAUAUAUAUAUAUAGCGAGAGAGAGAGAGUUGGGCUAGAAUACUAUUGAUAGCAAAAGGCCUUUUUUGCUAUCAUGUUUUUAACCUUUAGAUCAAUUUUUUUCAUCAUUUCUAACCAUUGGAUUAAAUAUUAUAAUUGUCACGCCCCGGAUUACUCGAUCCCCGGGCACGCCGACAAAUCCGCCGUAUACAAAGGAAUUUUUCUUGUAUACGAAGCGAUAGCUGUACUUGUAUAACAUACAAUACUACAAACAGUAGUAUAGAGCUGCUAGAAGAACCAGUAACUAAAAACAAACUGAGUUCCAUAUACAUACAUCAAAUCCAAUCUACAAAACUACACGCACUGGCGAGCUAAAUAUCUGUAUGUACAUGAACUCCAACCAAAAACAACUACCUGCUGUAGGGCACCUCUAGCUCGGCUCGUCGGGUAGGGCUCUAACUCGCGACGCCCUUGCCUCGAUCCUGAUCAGCAACAGCAGCAGUCGAAGACGAUGGCUCUGCAAAAACGGGGUAACAACAGGGCGUGAAAACUACUGUAAAAAUAAGUAAUCCUCAAUGGGUGCCGCCCUCAACAUCAUCGGUCCAGUCACUAAGUAUACAGAAGGGAGCAAAAAUAGUAAUAAACGCUGGAAUAAAAUCUACAGUUACGAUUUAUUACACUAUCAUGCUCUAAGCUGACCUACUGUAGUAAUGUGAAUCCCGACCCAAUCUCUUUAGGGACUGUAAACAUACCCAUCCCAGAGACUGUGAACACACCCGUCCCGCCCAGUUGAGACUAUCUAGCUACCUCCACACUAUCCAGUUCGUGGAGAGCAAAUCUAACCAGCAUGCACGACACCAACGCGAAAGCACAGCGCCCGUCUCCGGAGUGGCACUCGUGGGAGCUACCCAACCGAGUAUGCAGCGUAUCUCUGUCGAGCUCAAUCAGACUCUCUCAAGCCAAAGUCCAAGUAACCGACUCUAACUGGUCUAACAACCAAUAGGUUACGUGCCCUCGGCACAAUCCGACGCCAAACAAGCGAUAUGGGUCCACCGUCAACCCCGACGGCACCCAAUAGUCCGGAACAGUCUGAAUGCUACUGUAAAAAUACGCUAGGCAUUCCAGCACGAGCGUAACUGAACUCUAAACUACCUGGGGUAUCCGUCACAUCGAUACUGCGACGAUACAAAAUUACAACGGCUCCUAGAGCUAAAUCAGGUAGUUUAAGCAUAUGACAGGUUAUACUCGCAGUUUUCUCCUAAGUCAAAUCCAAGUCCAACAUGUGUCACUAUCUAGUCGAAAUAUUA